This is a long non-coding RNA of Chloebia gouldiae (Gouldian finch), 1557 nucleotides long. Lineage: Eukaryota; Metazoa; Chordata; Aves; Passeriformes; Passeridae. The record is from Ensembl.
AUGCUGUUUAUACACGUGUGUGCCUGGAAAAGACACAAUGGAACAACUCAAGGAGAAAAGGCGCUGCGAGGAGGAUCCUCACUGGAGUCUGCGGUAGCUCUUACAGAGUUCGUGGUCCCUGAUGUCUCCCCACCCUCCGUUCUUGACGUGAGGGGACAGGGGAGCCAUGGAGUACCUUUUACUCACACUCAUCGCCUCGGGAAACAGGUACUGUUGGUUGCUGUUCAAGAGAGAAUCGAUUUUGGCACUCUGGGUGGACGGUCUGCAGGAUUUCUUGUGGUGCAUGCCACAGUCCCCCGUGUGAAAAAUCCUGGGGAUUUCGGGAACCAGCACUUUCCAGAACUUUGGAAGACAAGAGACAGUCAAGUGCUGCAGAGUCCAGUCCCAGUUGUAGUCAUCGUAGGUGCAGAAGGCGUCCGUGCACUCGAUGAGCUUCUGGUAGGUGUCUCUGCCGAAGGCCAUGCCCAUGUUGUGCUCCGUGGACUUCCACGUCUUCAUCUCCACCUUGUCGGCGCGGCCGGCGAAGCCGCCCCGCACGGGGCUGUAGGUGCCCAGCGAGACGAGCUGGCACUCGGGGCACUCGCGCCGGCGCAGCGCCCAGAGCUGCUUGAGGACGUGGUAGAAGUCGGGCGCCAGGUAAUGAUCCUCCUCCAGGAAGAGCACGGGCCCCGCGUGCUCCCGCAGCGCCCGCACGCGCUCCCACACGAAGUGCAGCUUCCACCACCAGUGGUGCUUGGUCUGCGCGAAGCGCGCCUCGCGGUAGUGCCCGAACGAGUCGGGGAACUCGGCGUUGAUGCAGCCCAGCCGCAGCGCCGCCGCCUUGCCCACGUCGCGGGGGCAGUCGCGGGGGUCGUGGCCCGGGAACUCGCGCGGGUACAGCUGGAUGCUGAACGGGAAGAACACCUGCAGCACCGGGCAGAAGUCCACGCGGGCCGCCAGCCGGUUCAGCUCCUCGGCCCACAGGUCGUGGCUCAGCACCAGCAGCACGUUCUCCACGCCCGCCGCCCGCCGCAGCGACUCGAGCAGCAGCCGCAGGUGCUCGGCGCGGUCGUGCACCUGCACCACGAGCACCACGUCGGGCCGCGCCGGGAAGCGCCCGGCGUUCCGCACCGGCUGGUCGAAGUUCAGCCGGUACACGAGCGAGCGGUAACUCAGCGUCGCGUUCUCCGACAGCACCUCCGCCGCCACGACGGCCGACGCGUUGGCGGCGGGGCGGCGCGCUACCGCCGGCGGGGGCUCGCUGACCCGCGGCGGCUCCCCGGUGUUACCGGGACCGCCCCGCUGCUGCUGCUGCUGCUGCUGCCGCCGCCGCCCGCCGCCGCCGGUGCCCCAGAGCGCCAGGGCGCAGAGCGCCAGCGCCAGCGCCAGCAGCAGCACCUUGCGCUUGUAGACGCGCAGCCGCAUCGUCCCGGCGGCGGCGGCCCCGCUCCGCCGCUCCCGCCGCCGCCGCCGCCGCUCCCGCUCCCAGCGCGCGCGCGCCGCCGCCGCCCCGCGCGCACACGUCGCCGCUCCCCAUUGGCCGCCGCUGCGCCAACCGCGCCGUCGCCAUUGGUCGGA